ACUCCCUUAGUACAAACAGUACAAUUGACUUCCAAUCAAUAAGCCUCGACAAACCUCGAGAGAGAGUA
This 68-nucleotide transfer RNA is filed under the name Brachyteles arachnoides (woolly spider monkey). Its description in RNAcentral is "tRNA-Gly". The record is from RNAcentral. Lineage: Eukaryota; Metazoa; Chordata; Mammalia; Primates; Atelidae.